AUGCAGUCGCACGGACCUUUCGGGGUGAGUGGCGGACGGGUGAGUAUCGCGUAGGGAUCUAUCCAUGGGUGGGGGAUAACAUCGGGAAACUGGUGCUAAUACCGCAUGAUACCUGAGGGUCAAAGGCGCAAGUCGCCUGUGGAGGAGCCUGCGUUCGAUUAGCUUGUUGGUGGGGUAAAGGCCUACCAAGGCGAUGAUCGAUAGCUGGUCUGAGAGGAUGAUCAGCCACACUGGGACUGAGACACGGCCCAGACUCCUACGGGAGGCAGCAGUGGGGAAUAUUGGACAAUGGGCGAAAGCCUGAUCCAGCAAUGCCGCGUGUGCGAAGAAGGUCUUCGGAUUGUAAAGCACUUUCGACGGGGACGAUGAUGACGGUACCCGUAGAAGAAGCCCCGGCUAACUUCGUGCCAGCAGCCGCGGUAAUACGAAGGGGGCUAGCGUUGCUCGGAAUGACUGGGCGUAAAGGGCGCGUAGGCGGUUUACACAGUCAGAUGUGAAAUUCCAGGGCUUAACCUUGGGGCUGCAUUUGAUACGUGUAGACUAGAGUGUGAGAGAGGGUUGUGGAAUUCCCAGUGUAGAGGUGAAAUUCGUAGAUAUUGGGAAGAACACCGGUGGCGAAGGCGGCAACCUGGCUCAUUACUGACGCUGAGGC
RNAcentral lists this ribosomal RNA (652 nucleotides) under uncultured bacterium. RNAcentral describes it as "bacterial SSU rRNA". It matches the Rfam family "Bacterial small subunit ribosomal RNA", at positions 55 to 752 of the family's 1533-position model. The record is from RNAcentral.